CGGGAAUUUUGGGCAAUGGGCGAAAGCCUGACCCAGCAACGCCGCGUGAGGGAUGAAGUAUUUCGGUAUGUAAACCUCGAAAGAAUGGGAAGAAUAAAUGACGGUACCAUUUAUAAGCUCCGGCUAACUACGUGCCAGCAGCCGCGGUAAUACGUAGGGAGCAAGCGUUGUUCGGAUUUACUGGGCGUAAAGGGCGCGUAGGCGGCGCGGUAAGUCACUUGUGAAAUCUCUGAGCUUAACUCAGAACGGCCAAGUGAUACUGCUGUGCUAGAGUGCGGAAGAGGCAACCGGAAUUCUUGGUGUAGCGGUGAAAUGCGUAGAUAUCAAGAGGAACACCUGAGACGAAGGCGGGUUGCUGGGCCGACACUGACGCUGAUGCGCGAAAGCCAGGGGAGCAAACG
Molecule: ribosomal RNA, 401 nt
Filed under: uncultured bacterium
Lineage: Bacteria
Description: bacterial SSU rRNA
Rfam family: Bacterial small subunit ribosomal RNA
Source: RNAcentral